RNAcentral lists this ribosomal RNA (631 nucleotides) under uncultured bacterium. RNAcentral describes it as "bacterial SSU rRNA". It matches the Rfam family "Bacterial small subunit ribosomal RNA", at positions 9 to 650 of the family's 1533-position model. The record is from RNAcentral.
GAGUUUGAUCCUGGUUCAGGACGAAGCUGGCGGCAUGCCUAACACAUGCAAGUCGAACGGAGUAAGAGAGAAGCUUGCUUAGCUCUUACUUAGUGGCGGACGGGUGAGUAACGCGUGAGUAACCUGCCUUUCAGAGGGGGAUAACGUUCUGAAAAGAACGCUAAUACCGCAUGAUAUAUUGGGGUCGCAUGGCCUUGGUAUCAAAGGAGCAAUCCGCUGAAAGAUGGACUCGCGUCCGAUUAGCCAGUUGGCGGGGUAAAGGCCCACCAAAGCGACGAUCGGUAGCCGGGUUGAGAGACUGAACGGCCACAUUGGGACUGAGACACGGCCCAGACUCCUACGGGAGGCAGCAGCGGGGGAUAUUGCACAAUGGGCGAAAGCCUGAUGCAGCAAUGCCGCGUGAGGGAAGACGGUCUUCGGAUUGUAAACCUCUGUCCUUGGUGAAGAUAAUGACGGUAGCCAAGGAGGAAGCUCCGGCUAACUACGUGCCAGCAGCCGCGGUAAUACGUAGGGAGCAAGCGUUGUCCGGAUUUACUGGGUGUAAAGGGUGCGUAGGCCGCUUUUUAAGUCGGGCGUGAAAGCUGUGGGCUUAACCCACAAAUUGCGUUCGAAACUGGAAGGCUUGAGUGAA